This 466-nucleotide ribosomal RNA is filed under the name uncultured bacterium. RNAcentral describes it as "bacterial SSU rRNA". It matches the Rfam family "Bacterial small subunit ribosomal RNA", at positions 339 to 797 of the family's 1533-position model. The record is from RNAcentral.
CUACGGGAGGCAGCAGUGGGGAAUUUUGGACAAUGGGGGAAACCCUGAUCCAGCCAUUCCGCGUGUGCGAUGAAGGCCUUCGGGUUGUAAAGCACUUUUGGCAGGAAAGAAAUCGCACGGGUUAAUAACCCGUGUGGAUGACGGUACCUGCAGAAUAAGCACCGGCUAACUACGUGCCAGCAGCCGCGGUAAUACGUAGGGUGCAAGCGUUAAUCGGAAUUACUGGGCGUAAAGCGUGCGCAGGCGGUUCGGAAAGAAGGAUGUGAAAUCCCAGGGCUUAACCUUGGAACUGCAUUCUUAACUACCGGGCUAGAGUAUGUCAGAGGGAGGUGGAAUUCCGCGUGUAGCAGUGAAAUGCGUAGAUAUGCGGAGGAACACCGAUGGCGAAGGCAGCCUCCUGGGAUAAUACUGACGCUCAUGCACGAAAGCGUGGGGAGCAAACAGGAUUAGAUACCCCUGUAGUCCC